RNAcentral lists this ribosomal RNA (119 nucleotides) under Pteropus alecto (black flying fox). Lineage: Eukaryota; Metazoa; Chordata; Mammalia; Chiroptera; Pteropodidae. The record is from RNAcentral.
AACAUCUGCUGAGCCACCCUGAACAAGCCCGAUCCCACCUGAUCUUGGAAACUAAGCAGGGUCGGGCCUAGUUAGUACUUGGAUGGUAGACCACCUAGGAAGACCAAGUGCUGUAGGUG